This 1251-nucleotide long non-coding RNA is filed under the name Equus caballus (horse). Its description in RNAcentral is "lncRNA (ENSECAG00000056601.1)". The record is from RNAcentral. Lineage: Eukaryota; Metazoa; Chordata; Mammalia; Perissodactyla; Equidae.
CUGUGACGAAUCACUCUCGCUGCCCAACUUUUCCCCAAAAAAGUAGAUUUGAUACGUAGCCUUACCUAGAUGUCUUCUGGCUUUUCUGCAGAUCAAAAAGUUUCCUGCCCAAGCACACAGAUAUUCUUUCACAAACCAUAAAGACCCUUUUAUGAAUCCAGCACUGUAACAGGCUGCUUUCCACACCACGUCGAGAGCCCAGUGCGUCAGCUCUCAAGAUAAAAUACAUUGCUAAUACACAAUUAGUGGGAGAGGUUGUCUACUGGAGAAUUUAUCUUAACGAAAGAAGGAAAAAGAAGCUUUUUUUUUUUUUUUUUUUGGAAAAAGCAGAGAGGGUGCGGUCAGAUGUUAGGUUUUGCCUGAGAAAAGGGCCUUCCACUGCACUAGUACCUAAAUACUAGCAGAAGCUGCCUGGGAAGAGAGCCAAUGGAAGGACUUUGUUUGACCCAGCUGCCAAUCUCCCCUGAAGCCGUGCGCCAGACUAAACACUCACACUAUUUUAACUCAAAUCAGGCUACAGCAGCUGUUUGCUUUCCGGCUCUGAGCUCUGCACCCACGAUGGCCUGUGCCGUUUACCCAGCGAGCUCUGCUAGCUGCCUGGCUGGAAUCUGUUCCGGGUUGGGAGUUGUCAUUGGAGAGCACGUUUUAACCCUCUUCCUCGUGGUAAAUGUGGACCGUUUGUUGUUCGGCAUUUGGAUCGGCCUUUGUGUGCAUCAGGAACAAGGCCCCUACCACGCACCUCUAAGAACAAAGAUGGUACCUAUUCACCCCGACCCAGACUUCUUCGACCCUAGCAAGAUGGAAAGUUGGCAUCAGAGGAGCGGAGAGACUCACGUCAUUCUAAGAGUCAGUACUGACUGCUUAAUGCUCCCGCGAGUUCCUCCAGAAGCAACACCCAAGCACGUGUUGGAUUUUGUCCAAGAGAGCAUGUAAUUUAUGAAGGAAGUGUACGUCAUUCACAUUUUCCAGAAAAGAGGACAAAAAACAGGAAAAAAAUGUGUAGAGCCCCAUGAUAAUAAGUGAGCAGAUCUAAUAAAAAGUCUGCAGGUGCAGAUAUUUUCUGAGAAAACCCCAAUUUUUAGCAUUCUAUAUCAAGUUCCUAUGAAUGUGCCUCCUAUAAUUAUGCUUCAAAAAUAACCAAUGGAGAAUGAUGUUAAAUAAAGAGCAACAGUAAUAACUACAGUGCAUUGAGCACUAGCCCAGCCCUAGUGGUCUAGUGGUUAAGAUUCAGUGUUCUCACCAUUGUAACCC